Schistosoma haematobium is the source of this 45-nucleotide non-coding RNA. The record is from Rfam. Lineage: Eukaryota; Metazoa; Platyhelminthes; Trematoda; Strigeidida; Schistosomatidae.
AUCCAGCUGACGAGUCUAAAACAGAACGAAACGCGCAUCCAGAAU